CGGGUGCACUGAUCCAGCCGGGCCUUUCCCUCUGUGGAACCCCAUGGCCUUCACUGGCUGUGGUGGGGAAACAGGACUUUUACUUUGAAAAAAUUAGAGUGCUCCAGGCAGGCCUAUGCUCGAAUACAUUAGCAUGGAAUAAUAGAAUAGGACGUGUGGUUCUAUUUUGUUGGUUUCUAGGACCGCCGUAAUGAUUAAUAGGGACAGUCGGGGGCAUCAGUAUUCAAUUGUCAGAGGUGAAAUUCUUGGAUCUAUUGAAGACUAACUACUGCGAAAGCAUUUGCCAAGGAUGUUUUCAUUGAUAAGGAACGAAAGUUAGGGGAUCGAAGACGAUCAGAUACCGUCGUAGUCUUAACUAUAAACUAUGCCGACUAGGGAUCGGACGAUGUUAUUCUUUGACGCGUUCGGCACCUUUCGAGAAAUCAAAGUGCUUGGGCUCCAGGGGGAGUAUGGUCGCAAGGCUGAAACUUAAAGAAAUUGACGGAAGGGCACCACCAGGGGUGGAACCUGCGGCUUAAUUUGACUCAACACGGGGAAACUCACCAGGUCCAGACACAGUGAGGAUUGACAGAUUGAGAGCUCUUUCUUGAUUCUGUGGGUGGUGGCGCAUGGCCGUUCUUAGUUGGUGGAGUGAUUUGUCUGCUUAAUUGCGAUAACGAACGAGACCUUAACCUGCUAAAUAGCCCGUACUGCUUUGGCAGUUCGCCGGCUUCUUAGAGGGACUAUCGG
This 729-nucleotide ribosomal RNA is filed under the name uncultured eukaryote. Its description in RNAcentral is "SSU rRNA". It matches the Rfam family "Eukaryotic small subunit ribosomal RNA", at positions 670 to 1426 of the family's 1831-position model. The record is from RNAcentral.